CUUUGAUUAUGGCUCAGGAUGAACGCUGGCGGCGUGCCUAACACAUGCAAGUCGAACGGGGACAGGAUGAAACCUAGUGAUUCCUGUCUUAGUGGCGGACGGGUGAGUAACGCGUGGGUAACCUGCCUUGUACUGGGGGAUAACACCUGGAAACAGGUGCUAAUACCGCAUAAGCGCACAGGAUCGCAUGGUCCGGUGUGAAAGGGAGAAGCCUUCGGCAUCUCCGGUACAAGGUGGACCCGCGUCUGAUUAGCCAGUUGGGGGGGUAACGGCCCACCAAAGCGACGAUCAGUAGCCGGCCUGAGAGGGUGAACGGCCACAUUGGGACUGAGACACGGCCCAAACUCCUACGGGAGGCAGCAGUGGGGAAUAUUGCACAAUGGGGGGAACCCUGAUGCAGCAACGCCGCGUGAGUGAAGAAGUGAUUCGUUAUGUAAAGCCCUAUCAGCAGGGAAGAAAAUGACGGUACCUGAGUAAGCAGCCCCGGCUAACUACGUGCCAGCAGCCGCGGUAAUACGUAGGGGGCAAGCGUUAUCCGGAUUUACUGGGUGUAAAGGGAGCGUAGACGGCCACGCAAGUCUGAAGUGAAAUGCCAGUGCUCAACACUGGAACUGCUUUGGAAACUGCUUGGCUGGAGUGCAGGAGAGGUAAGUGGAAUUCCUAGUGUAGCGGUGAAAUGCGUAGAUAUUAGGAGGAACACCAGUGGCGAAGGCGGCUUACUGGACUGUAACUGACGUUGAGGCUCGAAGGCGUGGGGAGCAAACAGGAUUAGAUACCCUGGUAGUCCACGCGGUAAACGAUGAUUACUAGGUGUCGGGGGGUUAUAACCCUUCGGUGCCGCCGCAAACGCAAUAAGUAAUCCACCUGGGGAGUACGUUCGCAAGAAUGCAACUCAAAGGAAUUGACGGA
Molecule: ribosomal RNA, 909 nt
Filed under: uncultured Bacillota bacterium
Lineage: Bacteria; Bacillati; Bacillota
Description: bacterial SSU rRNA
Rfam family: Bacterial small subunit ribosomal RNA
Source: RNAcentral